RNAcentral lists this ribosomal RNA (410 nucleotides) under uncultured Lactobacillus sp. RNAcentral describes it as "bacterial SSU rRNA". It matches the Rfam family "Bacterial small subunit ribosomal RNA", at positions 29 to 418 of the family's 1533-position model. Lineage: Bacteria; Bacillati; Bacillota; Bacilli; Lactobacillales; Lactobacillaceae. The record is from RNAcentral.
ACGAACGCUGGCGGCGUGCCUAAUACAUGCAAGUCGAACGAACUCUGGUAUUGAUUGGUGCUUGCAUCAUGAUUUACAUUUGAGUGAGUGGCGAACUGGUGAGUAACACGUGGGAAACCUGCCCAGAAGCGGGGGAUAACACCUGGAAACAGAUGCUAAUACCGCAUAACAACUUGGAUCGCAUGGUCCGAGUUUGAAAGAUGGCUUCGGCUAUCACUUUUGGAUGGUCCCGCGGCGUAUUAGCUAGAUGGUGGGUAACGGCCACAUGGCAAUGAUACGUAGCCGACCCUGAGAGGGUAAUCGGCCACAUUGGGACUGAGACACGGCCCAAACUCCUACGGAGCAGCAGUAGGAAUCUCACAAUGGACGAAAGUCUGAUGGAGCAACGCCGCGUGAGUGAAGAAGGUUUC